GGAUAUGAGGGCAAUCUAGCUGUGACAUGCCCCCCCCACUGAUCACCAGCGUUGAUUUGACUGACCUGCUGGCUAGGCAGAUCCUCCCUCAUAGCUCCAUGUGCAUCUCUCUGGAAGCUGUGUGCUUGGUCAAAGCGGACAGCUUUCCAAGAUAAGAGUACCAUUCUUCUGUCAAGAGAACAUGAGUAGCUUUGCUCCCCUGCCAGAACCUCCAAACAAGUUCUCAAGUCAAUGGCUACCAUCUAAGUCCUCUGUAAUCCUAUUCAGUUCUUCCUUCGUAGCACU
This 285-nucleotide small nuclear RNA is filed under the name Chinchilla lanigera (long-tailed chinchilla). Its description in RNAcentral is "7SK RNA (ENSCLAG00000021805.1)". It matches the Rfam family "7SK RNA". Rfam says of the family: 7SK was discovered as an abundant small nuclear RNA in the mid-70s but a possible function has only recently been suggested. Lineage: Eukaryota; Metazoa; Chordata; Mammalia; Rodentia; Chinchillidae. The record is from Rfam by way of RNAcentral.